This 310-nucleotide unclassified non-coding RNA is filed under the name air metagenome. RNAcentral's name for it is "partial contains small subunit ribosomal RNA, internal transcribed spacer 1, and 5.8S ribosomal RNA". The stretch from base 1 to 46 matches the Rfam family "Eukaryotic small subunit ribosomal RNA", at positions 1786 to 1831 of the family's 1831-position model. The record is from RNAcentral.
AAGUCGUAACAAGGUUUCCGUAGGUGAACCUGCGGAAGGAUCAUUAUCGAGUUUUGAAACGGGUUGUAAGCUGGCCUUUGAAAAAAUAAACAGAGGCAUGUGCACGCCUGACUUCAUCCACUCUCAAACCCCUGUGCACCUAUUGUAGGCUCGGUGGAAAAGGUCGGUUCGACGACGAUUAAUCUUUGUUGUUGAGUCGGCUCGGGAAGCCUUGUCCUAUGUCUUCAUACAAACGCUUCAGUUAAGAAUGUAACCUUGCGCAUGACGCAAAAAAUAAAUACAACUUUCAGCAACGGAUCUCUUGGCUCUC